GGACAUGAGGAUGAUCUGACUGUGACAUUUAUCACCCCAUUAUUGAUGGCUACAGUUGAUGUGCUUGGUCUGGUUGGCGAAGUGGGUGUCCCCCUCUCUCCUCCUUGCUCUAAGUGUGUCCCUCCCCAAGCAGCACGCUCUGUCAAGGAGGACAACCUUUCCCAGUAAAGGAAGAUCAGGGCUGUCAAUUGGUCAAGAGCUUACUUGUACCUGCACUCCUGUGCUAAAACCUCCAACAAACUCUCAAGGUAGUAUAUUUAUCUGAUUAAGCAUACAAGUAAAUAAAAUGACUACUGAUGGCAGAAAUUGUUUACAGUACCGAAAUGUAAGCUGAAUUUUUUU
This 342-nucleotide small nuclear RNA is filed under the name Carlito syrichta (Philippine tarsier). RNAcentral describes it as "7SK RNA (ENSTSYG00000021629.2)". It matches the Rfam family "7SK RNA". Rfam says of the family: 7SK was discovered as an abundant small nuclear RNA in the mid-70s but a possible function has only recently been suggested. Two independent studies have found that 7SK RNA binds the CDK9/cyclin T complex (known as elongation factor P-TEFb). The record is from Rfam by way of RNAcentral. Lineage: Eukaryota; Metazoa; Chordata; Mammalia; Primates; Tarsiidae.